This 72-nucleotide transfer RNA is filed under the name Tuber melanosporum (Perigord truffle). RNAcentral's name for it is "tRNA-Thr (CGT) (tRNA-Thr-CGT-2-1)". It matches the Rfam family "tRNA". Rfam says of the family: Transfer RNA (tRNA) molecules are approximately 80 nucleotides in length. Their secondary structure includes four short double-helical elements and three loops (D, anti-codon, and T loops). Further hydrogen bonds mediate the characteristic L-shaped molecular structure. tRNAs have two regions of fundamental functional importance: the anti-codon, which is responsible for specific mRNA codon recognition, and the 3' end, to which the tRNAs corresponding amino acid is attached (by aminoacyl-tRNA synthetases). tRNAs cope with the degeneracy of the genetic code in two manners: having more than one tRNA (with a specific anti-codon) for a particular amino acid; and 'wobble' base-pairing, i.e. permitting non-standard base-pairing at the 3rd anti-codon position. RNAcentral also lists the same sequence under 4 other names. The record is from RNAcentral. Lineage: Eukaryota; Fungi; Ascomycota; Pezizomycetes; Pezizales; Tuberaceae.
GCCCGGAUGGCCAAGUGGUAAGGCGUCGCACUCGUAAUGCGAAGAUCGGGUGUUCGACUCACCCUUCGGGCA